UACGUAGGGUGCAAGCGUUAAUCGGAAUUACUGGGCGUAAAGCGUGCGCAGGCGGUUUUGUAAGACCGAUGGGAAAUCCCCGGGCUUAACCUGGGAACUGCAUUGGUGACUGCAAGGCUUGAGUGUGUCAGAGGGAGGUGGAAUUCCGCGUGUAGCAGUGAAAUGCGUAGAUAUGCGGAGGAACACCGAUGGCGAAGGCAGCCUCCUGGGAUAACACUGACGCUCAUGCACGAAAGCGUGGGGAGCAAACAGG
Molecule: ribosomal RNA, 253 nt
Filed under: uncultured bacterium
Lineage: Bacteria
Description: partial 16S ribosomal RNA
Rfam family: Bacterial small subunit ribosomal RNA
Source: RNAcentral